AGAGAAUAGAUACCCCGGUAGUCCACGCCGUAAACGAUGAUAACUAGCUGUCGGGGGCCUUAGGUUUUCGGUGGCGCAGCUAAACGCAUUAAGUUAUCCGCCUGGGGAGUACGGCCGCAAGGUUAAAACUCAAAGAAAUUGACGGGGCCUGCACAAGCGGUGGAGCAUGUGGUUUAAUUCGAAAGCAACGCGCAGAACCUUACCAGCGUUUGACAUCCUCAUCGCGGAUACCAGAGAUGGUUUCCUUCAGUUCGGCUGGAUGAGUGACAGGUGCUGCAUGGCUGUCGUCAGCUCGUGUCGUGAGAUGUUGGGUUAAGUCCCGCAACGAGCGCAACCCUCGUCUUAGUUGCCAUCAUUUAGUUGGGCACUCUAAAGAAACCGCCGGUGAUAAGCCGGAGGAAGGUGGGGAUGACGUCAAGUCCUCAUGGCCCUUACGCGCUGGGCUACACACGUGCUACAAUGGCGGUGACAGUGGGCAGC
RNAcentral lists this ribosomal RNA (480 nucleotides) under uncultured bacterium. RNAcentral describes it as "bacterial SSU rRNA". It matches the Rfam family "Bacterial small subunit ribosomal RNA", at positions 773 to 1250 of the family's 1533-position model. The record is from RNAcentral.